This 72-nucleotide transfer RNA is filed under the name compost metagenome. Its description in RNAcentral is "tRNA-Phe". The record is from RNAcentral.
GCCGCUGGUGGCGCGAUUCAGGCGCUAGGGAUUGAAAAUCCUUGUGCCGGCGGUGCGAGUCCGCCCCCGGCC